RNAcentral lists this transfer RNA (359 nucleotides) under uncultured Microcystis sp. Its description in RNAcentral is "partial 16S-23S ribosomal RNA intergenic spacer". The stretch from base 134 to 207 matches the Rfam family "tRNA". The record is from RNAcentral. Lineage: Bacteria; Bacillati; Cyanobacteriota; Cyanophyceae; Chroococcales; Microcystaceae.
AAAGGGAGACCUAAUUCGGGUAUAAGACGAAAAAAUAGUAGUCGAAACCAAGAAUCAAUCCCAAAAGGUCGGAACGAGGUAUGUGGCUUUCAAACUAGGUUCUGGGUUCACAGAAGACCUGAAUCAGGAACAAGGGCUAUUAGCUCAGGUGGUUAGAGCGCACCCCUGAUAAGGGUGAGGUCCCUGGUUCGAGUCCAGGAUGGCCCACCUGCACAGGUGGCAAAAACAAGAGAAGCUCCGAAUCAGCACCUUAUCUUACUUAUAUAGUAAGAGAGAAUGCUGGCUCUGAGUAAAGAGUCCAGAGGAACCUUGAAAACUGCAUAGAGCUAGGUGAAAAAGCCAAAAAAGAAGACCGCAAG